RNAcentral lists this ribosomal RNA (280 nucleotides) under Segatella copri DSM 18205. RNAcentral's name for it is "Prevotella copri DSM 18205 partial 16S ribosomal RNA". It matches the Rfam family "Bacterial small subunit ribosomal RNA", at positions 493 to 776 of the family's 1533-position model. Lineage: Bacteria; Pseudomonadati; Bacteroidota; Bacteroidia; Bacteroidales; Prevotellaceae. The record is from RNAcentral.
UAUGGUAAUUGUCAGCCGCCGCGGUAAUACGGAAGGUCCGGGCGUUAUCCGGAUUUAUUGGGUUUAAAGGGAGCGUAGGCCGGAGAUUAAGCGUGUUGUGAAAUGUAGAUGCUCAACAUCUGAACUGCAGCGCGAACUGGUUUCCUUGAGUACGCACAAAGUGGGCGGAAUUCGUGGUGUAGCGGUGAAAUGCUUAGAUAUCACGAAGAACUCCGAUUGCGAAGGCAGCUCACUGGAGCGCAACUGACGCUGAAGCUCGAAAGUGCGGGUAUCGAACAGG